GCUUGCUUGUUGGGGUUGUAGGACACUCUAUACGGAGUUACAAAGGACGACAUUAGACGAAUCAUCUGGAAAGAUGAAUCAAAGAAGGUAAUAAUCCUGUAGUCGAAAAUGUUGUCUCUCUUGAGUGGAUCCUGAGUACGACGGAGCACGUGAAAUUCCGUCGGAAUCUGGGAGGACCAUCUCCUAAGGCUAAAUACUCUCUAGUGACCGAUAGUGAACCAGUACCGUGAGGGAAAGGUGAAAAGCACCCCGGAAGGGGAGUGAAAUAGAACCUGAAACCGUGUGCUUACAAGUAGUCAGAGCCCGUUAAUGGGUGAUGGCGUGCCUUUUGUAGAAUGAACCGGCGAGUUACGAUUUGAUGCAAGGUUAAGCAGUAAAUGUGGAGCCGUAGCGAAAGCGAGUCUGAAUAGGGCGUUUAGUAUUUGGUCGUAGACCCGAAACCAGGUGAUCUACCCUUGGUCAGGUUGAAGUUCAGGUAACACUGAAUGGAGGACCGAACCGACUUACGUUGAAAAGUGAGCGGAUGAACUGAGGGUAGCGGAGAAAUUCCAAUCGAACCUGGAGAUAGCUGGUUCUCUCCGAAAUAGCUUUAGGGCUAGCCUCAAGUGAUGAUUAUUGGAGGUAGAGCACUGUUUGGACGAGGGGCCCCUCUCGGGUUACCGAAUUCAGACAAACUCCGAAUGCCAAUUAAUUUAACUUGGGAGUCAGAACAUGGGUGAUAAGGUCCGUGUUCGAAAGGGAAACAGCCCAGACCACCAGCUAAGGUCCCAAAAUAUAUGUUAAGUGGAAAAGGAUGUGGCGUUGCCCAGACAACUAGGAUGUUGGCUUAGAAGCAGCCAUCAUUUAAAGAGUGCGUAAUAGCUCACUAGUCGAGUGACACUGCGCCGAAAAUGUACCGGGGCUAAACAUAUUACCGAAGCUGUGGAUUGUCCUUUGGACAAUGGUAGGAGAGCGUUCUAAGGGCGUUGAAGCAUGAUCGUAAGGACAUGUGGAGCGCUUAGAAGUGAGAAUGCCGGUGUGAGUAGCGAAAGACGGGUGAGAAUCCCGUCCACCGAUUGACUAAGGUUUCCAGAGGAAGGCUCGUCCGCUCUGGGUUAGUCGGGUCCUAAGCUGAGGCCGACAGGCGUAGGCGAUGGAUAACAGGUUGAUAUUCCUGUACCACCUAUAAUCGUUUUAAUCGAUGGGGGGACGCAGUAGGAUAGGCGAAGCGUGCGAUUGGAUUGCACGUCUAAGCAGUAAGGCUGAGUAUUAGGCAAAUCCGGUACUCGUUAAGG
Molecule: ribosomal RNA, 1274 nt
Filed under: Staphylococcus aureus
Lineage: Bacteria; Bacillati; Bacillota; Bacilli; Caryophanales; Staphylococcaceae
Description: partial 23S ribosomal RNA
Rfam family: Bacterial large subunit ribosomal RNA
Source: RNAcentral